Molecule: non-coding RNA, 72 nt
Organism: Oreochromis niloticus (Nile tilapia)
Lineage: Eukaryota; Metazoa; Chordata; Actinopteri; Cichliformes; Cichlidae
Source: the annotation of a RefSeq genome assembly
GGCAUAGUGGCCAAGUGGCAAGGCAUUGGUCUCGUCUGCCAAAGCUCAUGGGUUCAAUCCCCAUCUGUGCCU